RNAcentral lists this ribosomal RNA (468 nucleotides) under uncultured bacterium. RNAcentral's name for it is "partial 16S ribosomal RNA". It matches the Rfam family "Bacterial small subunit ribosomal RNA", at positions 28 to 507 of the family's 1533-position model. The record is from RNAcentral.
GACGAACGCUGGCGGCGUGCUUAACACAUGCAAGUCGAACGGAAAGGCCCUGCUUUUGUGGGGUGCUCGAGUGGCGAACGGGUGAGUAACACGUGAGUAACCUGCCCUUGACUUUGGGAUAACUUCAGGAAACUGGGGCUAAUACCGGAUAGGAGCUCCUGCUGCAUGGUGGGGGUUGGAAAGUUUCGGCGGUUGGGGAUGGACUCGCGGCUUAUCAGCUUGUUGGGGGGGUAGUGGCUUACCAAGGCUUUGACGGGUAGCCGGCCUGAGAGGGUGACCGGGCACAUUGGGCCUGCGAUACGGCCCAGACUCCUACGGGAGGCAGCAGUGGAGAAUAUUGCACAAUGGGCGGAAGCCUGAUGCAGCAACGCCGCAUGCGGGAUGACGGCCUUCGGGUUGUAAACCGCUUUCGCCUGUGACGAAGCGUGAGUGACGGUAAUGGGUAAAGAAGCACCGGCUAACUACGUG